Molecule: long non-coding RNA, 872 nt
Filed under: Setaria viridis
Lineage: Eukaryota; Viridiplantae; Streptophyta; Magnoliopsida; Poales; Poaceae
Description: long non-coding RNA (SVIR_LNC004266)
Source: RNAcentral
UGGAAACCAUCCUUCCAGUCAUCCAAAUCCAUGGAAAAUGUUUGUAAAGGAUCCUUUGGGUUUCGGCAUUAAUGAAAUCAGUGGGACCCUCAUCACCAUGGGGCCAAGAAAGAAUGCAUUAUCUACAUCGCUAAGUGGAAUCAAAACAUGAUCUCUAGGCACCUACAAGAAGAGCGAGGGAAAGAAUAUUGAGAAAUGUCACAAAAGGGUCGGAUUAGAUCUAAAGCAUCAAAAUAAGGCGGUGAUGUACAGUACCUUUGGGAUGGCGGUAGAGGUAGCCAUUAGAGCGAUGAGACACUUUGACAACCGAUGGGCUUGAUGAUGGUUUCGGAAGUGGAGCUCUGGUUCUGAUAUGCGGUGGUGGAAAGCUUGCUUGGCUUUGUAAAGAAGAUGAAGGGACGGGGCAGUUCUAUAAUAUUUUAGUCCAGUAAAAUCCUAAAAAUCGAGGGCGGUGCCAUCGCAAAAUCCAGAGGAAAGAGAUCAUGAUUGUGGCAACGACUCUUUUGAUUUUGGAAGGGUAUCGGCUCGGGACCUGUGAAGGUGUUGACAAGAGAUGAGAAUUUUGGAAUAUAAUAUUAUAUUCCAAAAUUGGGGGGCAUGUGUUGACAACGGUUUUUGACCAGAGUCAACCAUCGUGGAUAAGGUUCAGAUAGCCGAUGAAGGAGAGAGAGAGAGAGACCGUCGAUGACUCCAGGUUGACCAAGACUAGCCAUGGGGGACCAGGGUUCCAGAAGCCGAUAGAAGACCGGAGGAGGUCCGAUCCGAAGCAAAAUUGACUCCACCAAAUAAGGGAAAGUGUGCAGAUUUAUCUUUAGUAGUUUUUAAGAAUAGUUGUAACAGUCAUGUUGUAAUCGACUAGGUAUCUAGUUUUC